CACGAUUCAGCUCACAGUAGCCUCUGUCAGGACAUAACGUUUACAUUGUGAUCCCAGUAACCUCGCAAUAGAGGGAAUGACAUGCAAAGAUUCUGAGGAAGAAAAUUCCAGGCAGGGAAUUCUGUUGAGCAAUGGCCCUGAAAUGGGAGUGAACAGGGUGCGUUUGAGGAACCAGAGACCAGUGGCAGAGGGCAUGGGGUGCAGAAUGCAAAGGGAGGACAUGAAGUCGCAGAGUUCCGUGUCUUCUGCAUUACAUUGUCUUCACUGGUAAUGUGAGUAGGGGCUGUGCUGGGGCCCUAAAGGACGUCUGCGGAGCCAGAGGCCACGGGAAUGCCAGCGACAAAAGCCAGCCUGGCCAUGGCUGGCUGCUGUGGCCCUCACAAGGAGGCCCUGACACGCGUUACCUGGAGCCAUACAGGGUUGUGAGCAAUGAGCAAGGGGAAUGCUGAUGGCCCUGCCCGAGCUGCAGGGCCUGGAAACCAGAAAACUCCUGGGAACUAUGACAUCUUCCCCAGCUGGAGGAACAGCAGGAGGAGUGUUGCAGAAGUCAAGGGGCCAGAAGCUCUUGGGCCGUUCCUGGGUUGAGCCAGAAAUGGCGGCCAAGAGAGUUUUCAAUAAAGUUUACAUGUGGCUAGAUAUGACCUGCUGAUUACUCUUAAUUUUUUUCACAUUUAUU
This 676-nucleotide long non-coding RNA is filed under the name Homo sapiens (human). RNAcentral's name for it is "HSALNT0385530". Lineage: Eukaryota; Metazoa; Chordata; Mammalia; Primates; Hominidae. The record is from RNAcentral.